RNAcentral lists this ribosomal RNA (492 nucleotides) under uncultured bacterium. RNAcentral's name for it is "partial 16S ribosomal RNA". It matches the Rfam family "Bacterial small subunit ribosomal RNA", at positions 29 to 507 of the family's 1533-position model. The record is from RNAcentral.
AGUGAACGCUGGCGGUAGGCCUAACACAUGCAAGUCGAACGGCAGCACAGUAAGAGCUUGCUCUUACGGGUGGCGAGUGGCGGACGGGUGAGGAAUACAUCGGAAUCUACUUUUUCGUGGGGGAUAACGUAGGGAAACUUACGCUAAUACCGCAUACGACCUACGGGUGAAAGCAGGGGAUCUUCGGACCUUGCGCGAUUGAAUGAGCCGAUGUCGGAUUAGCUAGUUGGCGGGGUAAAGGCCCACCAAGGCGACGACCCGUAGCUGGUCUGAGAGGAUGAUCAGCCGCACUGGAACUGAGACACGGUCCAGACUCCUACGGGAGGCAGCAGUGGGGAAUAUUGGACAAUGGGCGCAAGCCUGAUCCAGCCAUACCGCGUGGGUGAAGAAGGCCUUCGGGUUGUAAAGCCCUUUUGUUGGGAAAGAAAAGCAGCAGGUUAAUACCCCGCUGUUCUGACGGUACCCAAAGAAUAAGCACCGGCUAACUUCGUG